Molecule: ribosomal RNA, 429 nt
Filed under: Bacillota bacterium
Lineage: Bacteria; Bacillati; Bacillota
Description: Firmicutes bacterium partial 16S ribosomal RNA
Rfam family: Bacterial small subunit ribosomal RNA
Source: RNAcentral
UAGGGAAUCUUUGGCAAUGGACGGAAGUCUGACCGAGCAACGCCGCGUGAGUGAAGAAGGUUUUCGGAUCGUAAAGCUCUGUUGUUAGAGAAGAACGUUGGUAGGAGUGGAAAAUCUACCAAGUGACGGUAACUAACCAGAAAGGGACGGCUAACUACGUGCCAGCAGACGCGGUAAUACGUAGGUCCCGAGCGUUGUCCGGAUUUAUUGGGCGUAAAGCGAGCGCAGGCGGUUCUUUAAGUCUGAAGUUAAAGGCAGUGGCUUAACCAUUGUACGCUUUGGAAACUGGAGGACUUGAGUGCAGAAGGGGAGAGUGGAAUUCCAUGUGUAGCGGUGAAAUGCGUAGAUAUAUGGAGGAACACCGGUGGCGAAAGCGGCUCUCUGGUCUGUAGCUGACGCUGAGGCUCGAAAGCGUGGGGAGCAAACAGG